RNAcentral lists this ribosomal RNA (167 nucleotides) under uncultured bacterium. Its description in RNAcentral is "partial 16S rRNA". It matches the Rfam family "Bacterial small subunit ribosomal RNA", at positions 352 to 511 of the family's 1533-position model. The record is from RNAcentral.
CAGUAGGGAAUCUUCCACAAUGGACGAAAGUCUGAUGGAGCAAUGCCGCGUGAGUGAAGAAGGUUUUCGGAUCGUAAAGCUCUGUUGUUGGUGAUGAAGGAUAGAGGCAGUAACUGGUCUUUAUUUGACGGUAAUCAACCAGAAAGUCACGGCUAACUACAUGCCAG